UUUACUUCCUUGCUGGACUAAGUGCCUUUUAACCACCUGUGGAUUGUUUUGAUAUCUUUUUUGAUAGUCUGACUCUUUGUCCAUCGGACGCAGUGAACGCCUCACCCGAGCUGACAGUUCGAUGCCACAGUACUUGCACUUUUCUAUCAUCGAUGUUCCUGGGGCAUUGUUCAGCCUGUGGAUGGUGGAUGCAGCUGUCCCAGUCAUCGUUCGUGAAUAGUUCACAUUCUUAGCUCUGUGAUUCUGUGUGUACCCAGGAACAUGGAUCGGUGCCACCAGUUGUUCGCUAUUCCUCCACUGCAGACGACCGAGUACCGCAAAGACUUUGAACAGUCACCACCGUAGCACGAAAGUGUCGAUUGCAGGACCUUUGACGCAGUACAUGUACUCGUAAUGGGACGUAGCAGGCGGACUGGCUGUGACGCACCUUCGC
This is a long non-coding RNA of Gigantopelta aegis, 433 nucleotides long. RefSeq lists it as uncharacterized. The transcript has 3 exons. The record is from RefSeq and is a predicted model, not a curated record. Lineage: Eukaryota; Metazoa; Mollusca; Gastropoda; Neomphalida; Peltospiridae.